RNAcentral lists this ribosomal RNA (470 nucleotides) under uncultured Pseudomonadota bacterium. RNAcentral describes it as "bacterial SSU rRNA". It matches the Rfam family "Bacterial small subunit ribosomal RNA", at positions 355 to 816 of the family's 1533-position model. Lineage: Bacteria; Pseudomonadati; Pseudomonadota. The record is from RNAcentral.
UGGGGAAUAUUGGACAAUGGGCGGAAGCCUGAUCCAGCCAUGCCGCGUGUGUGAAGAAGGCCUUCGGGUUGUAAAGCACUUUGUACGGGAAGAAAAGCUUUCGGUUAAUACCCGGAAGUCCUGACGGUACCGUAAGAAUAAGCACCGGCUAACUUCGUGCCAGCAGCCGCGGUAAUACGAAGGGUGCAAGCGUUACUCGGAAUUACUGGGCGUAAAGCGUGCGUAGGUGGUUUGUUAAGUCUGAUGUGAAAGCCCUGGGCUCAACCUGGGAAUGGCAUUGGGAUACUGGCAGUCUAGAGUGCGGUAGAGGGUAGCGGAAUUCCCGGUGUAGCAGUGAAAUGCGUAGAUAUCGGGAGGAACAUCCGUGGCGAAGGCGGCUACCUGGACCAGCACUGACACUGAGGCACGAAAGACGUGGGGAGCAAACAGGAUUAGAUACCCUGGUAGUCCACGCCCUAAACGAUGCGAAC